This 503-nucleotide ribosomal RNA is filed under the name uncultured bacterium. RNAcentral describes it as "partial 16S ribosomal RNA". It matches the Rfam family "Bacterial small subunit ribosomal RNA", at positions 30 to 523 of the family's 1533-position model. The record is from RNAcentral.
AUUGAACGCUGGCGGCAGGCUUAACACAUGCAAGUCGAGCGGAGUGAUGGUGCUUGCACUAUCACUUAGCGGCGGACGGGUGAGUAAUGCUUAGGAAUCUGCCUAUUAGUGGGGGACAACAUCUCGAAAGGGAUGCUAAUACCGCAUACGUCCUACGGGAGAAAGCAGGGGAUCACUUGUGACCUUGCGUUAAUAGAUGAGCCUAAGUCGGAUUAGCUAGGUGGUGGGGUAAAGGCCUACCAAGGCGACGAUCUGUAGCGGGUCUGAGAGGAUGAUCCGCCACACUGGGACUGAGACACGGCCCAGACUCCUACGGGAGGCAGCAGUGGGGAAUAUUGGACAAUGGGGGGAACCCUGAUCCAGCCAUGCCGCGUGUGUGAAGAAGGCCUUAUGGUUGUAAAGCACUUUAAGCGAGGAGGAGGCUCUUUUGGUUAAUACCCAAGAUGAGUGGACGUUACUCGCAGAAUAAGCACCGGCUAACUCUGUGCCAGCCGCCGCCGUAA